This 253-nucleotide ribosomal RNA is filed under the name uncultured bacterium. Its description in RNAcentral is "partial 16S ribosomal RNA". It matches the Rfam family "Bacterial small subunit ribosomal RNA", at positions 524 to 776 of the family's 1533-position model. The record is from RNAcentral.
UACGUAGGGUGCGAGCGUUAAUCGGAAUUACUGGGCGUAAAGCGUGCGCAGGCGGCCUCGCAAGUCAGACGUGAAAGCCCCGGGCUUAACCUGGGAAUGGCGUUUGAAACUACGGAGCUGGAGUAUGGCAGAGGGGGGUGGAAUUCCACGUGUAGCGGUGAAAUGCGUAGAUAUGUGGAGGAACACCGAUGGCGAAGGCAGCCCCCUGGGCCAAUACUGACGCUCAUGCACGAAAGCGUGGGGAGCAAACAGG